AUACGGGGGGGGCAAGCGUUGUUCGGAAUUACUGGGCGUAAAGGGCGCGUAGGCGGACCAGACAGUCUCUCGUGAAAUCCCACGGCUCAACCGUGGAACUGCGGGAGAUACUACUUGUCUUGAGUUCGGGAGAGGAGUGUGGAAUUCCCAGUGUAGCGGUGAAAUGCGUAGAUAUGGGGAGGAACACCGGUGGCGAAGGCGGCACUCUGGACCGAUACUGACGCUGAGGCGCGAAAGCUAGGGGAGCAAACGGGAUUAGAAACCCCAGUAGUCC
RNAcentral lists this ribosomal RNA (274 nucleotides) under uncultured bacterium. RNAcentral's name for it is "partial 16S ribosomal RNA". It matches the Rfam family "Bacterial small subunit ribosomal RNA", at positions 523 to 796 of the family's 1533-position model. The record is from RNAcentral.